Long non-coding RNA from Lates calcarifer (barramundi perch), 2286 nucleotides. RefSeq lists it as uncharacterized. The transcript has 3 exons. NCBI's taxonomy places the organism in Eukaryota, Metazoa, Chordata, Actinopteri, Centropomidae. The record is from RefSeq and is a predicted model, not a curated record.
AAAAAAGUUGUGGAAGCAGCACUCACAUCUUUAAAGGAAUAGUUUUGAGAAAUACAUCGCUCACUCUCUGGCAGUGGCAGCUAGCAGUCUGUUAGUUUAGCUUAGCAUAAAGACUGAAAACAGGAAAACAGCUAGUUUUAAAUUAUAAGCCACUGUUUUAUGAGGGUUACAAGCUAAAUUACUUCUUGGCCAAGCACAAAAACUACUUUUCUCUCCAUCAUCGCUUGUUGCCUACUCACAGCCAAGAAAUAAUUUAGCGUUGAGCAGGUGAACUGUCAUUUUUUUCACCUUGAUUGAUUUUUGUAUAAACUAAACAUACAGAAAAAUAACAUAUUAAUUCCUGAACUUUAGAGGUACUGUUUUGUCACUGUUGAACUGAGCCAGGCUAGUUGUUUCCCUUUGCUUUCAGUCUUUGUGCUAAGCUAAGCUAACCAGCCACUGACUACAGCCUCAUAUUUAACAGCUGUGUGAGUGGUGAGUGGUAUUGAUCAUGAUGUACUGACUUUUAACUACUUUGAAGUCUAUAUACAGUUUGGUAGUUUGGUCCAAUGUUUCCCAAAGGUCACACGAUAAAUCUGAGGGGUUGUGGGAUGAUUAAUGAGAGAGGAAAGAAGAAUAAACAAGUUCAGUGACAUAAAAUAAUUUAGAAAAUUAAAUAUUGGAUGAUUUUACCUCUUUGGACCUCAAACACGGGUUUAAAUGAAACCAGCAGCAAAGUUUUUGAGAGCGGAAAUAUUUCUUUGGCAGAACAGCAAACAGCUAAUCUGAAAUGUGACAAAGAGCCCAAACUAGACACGGAAAUCCUUAAUAGCCUACACUGUAUUUUAUUGACUUAUUUUAUGUUGUUUUUUCAUGUGAGAUCUUUAUCUGAAAAGAAAGUAGUGACUACAUCCCUUAAAUACAUGUAGCAGUGUAAAAAAUAGAAUAUUUUUAAGUAACAUAAAAUAGAAAUAUUCACAUGAAAUACAUUUACUUACUGUAAAUGCAUGCAUUUAUUUUCAACCAACUGCAAGACAACAAUUACGAUACAACAACGAGGUCACAGGAAGCACCUCUGCUUUCCCUCACACCUCGGUCUUGAGACUCUUUCCUUCUGGUUUUCAGGGGGUGUCUCUGUCGUGGUUGUGGUCACUGCUGUUGUCUCUGAGCAGAGGUGUGGACGAGGGUGGGGAAUGUUUUCCCAGGUCCCACAGGAAAACUGUCAGGAAACAUUACACGAGGCCCCAAAGUGCUUGGUUGGAGCCAGAGAGCUUGGAGUCAGCCCCCCGAACACCUCCAGGAACUCCCUCUGUAACCAGCAUCUCCUCAUGGGCCUGUGCGGCUGCUGCGAUACAGUUUGUGGAUGAAAUAGCGGUGUUAUUGUCUCAAAGUUUCCUGGACCUGUUCAAGUGAAUUCCCCGGUCUCAUCAGCAUGCGGCGUACAGUCACUGUCUGUUUUGGAGCCAAACUCAGCCCAAGAAGUUCCUCUAAAAACUAAACCGAAGACACAAGAAGAUGAAACCAUGAGUCAUGUGAAAAUUACAGGUCUUCGUAGGUGCUGAAGAUUAAAACUCAAAAGAGAGACUUUUCUUUACCCUCACUGGUACGACCUUAGCUUUAAAUUUACUGGAUUUACUUUACUAAGAAAAAGAAGAAGUGCUGUCAGAUGCACUCUAGUAAUCAUACCAUCAACCACAUGGAAAAAAAAAAAGAAGAUGACGCAGCAGCCAAGAAACCAGAGUGACUAGAGCGACGUGUAAACAAAAACUUCCUCCUUUCCAAAAAACCUGCAUAUGUUGCUCACUUAUAGCAGUUUAUCAACUCGAUAUUACAACUUACGGAGAGUCUCCUUUCAUAAUCAUCAUUCGUAUGUCACCAUCCCCCUCAAAAAAAUUUAUUUCAGCGUGUAGUGUGUGUGGGACAUCAUCACAGGAGAUGACUCAGUUCUACCUUCUUGGAUUUAGAGUGAAAGACUUUGAGGUGGAGUGCAUGUGGGCAAAAGUGAGAAUAUAUUCAACAGCAUCAGAUAAAAGCACCUGCCUGUACAAUAGAACCACACACUACAGUAUAUACAUAAAAUAUAUGUAUAUAUAUAGUUUAGUCAAGGCUGGAUCACCAGUCAGGGGUCAAGUGUGUCAACUAAUUAACACAUAAAACCUUUGGCAAGUUCAGAUUAUUCCAUUGUAGAAGAACUGUACGGCUGCAACCAACAGUUAUUUUAAUUAUCACUACAUCUGACAAUUAUUUUCUUGCUCGGUGAAUAAAAAUGUCAGAAAAUAGUGAAAAAAUUACAAUUAUCACUCCCUG